Molecule: long non-coding RNA, 658 nt
Organism: Dreissena polymorpha
Lineage: Eukaryota; Metazoa; Mollusca; Bivalvia; Myida; Dreissenidae
Exons: 3
Source: RefSeq, a predicted model, not a curated record
CACAUACUUGCCAUGUUUUAGCGGGUGCACUUGUGUAGAGGUAAGAUUUUAGCUCAUACUUGCUGUGUUUUAGUGUGUGCACUGGUGUAGAGCUAAGAUUUGAGCUCAUACUUGCAGUGUUUUAGUGUGUGCACUGGUGUAGAGCUAAGAUUUGAGCUCAUACUUGCCAUGUUUUAGUGUGUGCACUGGUGUAGAGCUAAGAUUUUAGCUCAUACUUGCCCUGUUUUAGUGUGUGCACUGGUGUAGAGGUAAGAUUUGAGCUCAUACUUGCAGUGUUUUAGUGUGUGCACUGGUGUAGAGGUAAGAUUUGAGCUCAUACUUGCCAUGUUUUAGUGUGUGCACUGGUGUAGAGGUAAGAUUUGAGCUCAUACUUGCCCUGUUUUAGUGUGUGCACUGGUGUAGAGGUAAGAUUUGAGCUCAUACUUGCCCUGUUUUAGUGUGUGCACUGGUGUAGAGAUAAGAUUUGAGCUCAUACUUGCAGUGUUUUAGUGUGUGCACUGGUGUAGAGGUAAGAUUUGAGCUCAUACUUGCCAUGUUUUAGUGUGUGCACUGGUGUAGAGCUAAGAUUUGAGCUCAUACUUGCAGUGUUUUAGUGUGUGCACUGGCGUAGAGAUAAGAUUUGAGCUCAUACUUGCCGUGUUUUAGCUCGUGCACUUGU